AAAGUCGUAACAAGGUAACCGUAGGUGAACCUGCGGUUGGAUCAUUAUUAAAUAUAAAACAACGGUGUGAUUCUGUCACACUGUCCCGUAAAAGGGUUUGCUGCCUUACAGUAAUCUUGAAAGAAUGCUGUAGGGUGUCUAGAAAAACAUACUGUGAACUGUAUUUGUCUCUGGCGGCUGGAUGGUCUCAAAAACCAUCUGUCAGCUUCUUCAAGCCUUGGAAACAUGCACUUGGGAGGCCGUGGACAAGCCGUCAAAAGCUUAAUGAGGACCUUCUCUGGGAGGGACUCAUGAAAAACUAUUUUCUAUUUAGUUGACUGACCUACAAUACAAAGAGUAAUGUAACAAAAACAACUUUUGGCAACGGAUCUCUUGGCUCUC
This 381-nucleotide unclassified non-coding RNA is filed under the name Chytridiomycota sp. Its description in RNAcentral is "partial contains small subunit ribosomal RNA, internal transcribed spacer 1, and 5.8S ribosomal RNA". The stretch from base 1 to 47 matches the Rfam family "Eukaryotic small subunit ribosomal RNA", at positions 1785 to 1831 of the family's 1831-position model. The record is from RNAcentral. Lineage: Eukaryota; Fungi; Chytridiomycota.